Molecule: ribosomal RNA, 253 nt
Filed under: uncultured bacterium
Lineage: Bacteria
Description: partial 16S ribosomal RNA
Rfam family: Bacterial small subunit ribosomal RNA
Source: RNAcentral
GACGAACCGUCCGAACGUUAUUCGGAAUCACUGGGCUUAAAGGGUGCGUAGGCGGCGCGGUAAGUCGGGUGUGAAAUCUCGGGGCUUAACUCCGAAACUGCAUUCGAUACUGCCGUGCUUGAGGACUGGAGAGGAGACUGGAAUUUACGGUGUAGCGGUGAAAUGCGUAGAUAUCGUAAGGAAGACCAGUGGCGAAGGCGGGUCUCUGGACAGUUCCUGACGCUGAGGCACGAAGGCCAGGGGAGCAAACGGG